CGGGCCACCGCAGCAGCGGCCACGCGCGAUGUUUAGGGUCGUGACCGCAACGGUUAAACUUCAGCUUGCGGGCAGUGUUCGUGGAGAGGUGGAGUCAGACCUCUGCCGGCUGCCGGUUGUACGGCAGGGCCGAGCCCUCCCGCGCACGCAGGCUUCUGCGGUCCUGGCUGCCUCCAAGCCAGGCACGAGUCACCUUCCAGGGCCAGCGCUGGAGAAGAGGGAGGCAAGGCGGGGUCAAGGCGGGCCCAAGUGCGCAACCCACGGCGACCCAGGUGUGGAAGAGGCGGCGAGUGCGGGGCCAGGACCUGCGGGGAGCAAAGGGGAUGGAACUCGGAAGGACCCCGAGCCUGGCCACAAUGCAAGGAGAGAGAGACUCCUAUCAGAUUCUCUUACAGAAUAUUUUCUGUCUUUACUGCAUGGGUCCUGAGGAGAACCUGGAAAACAUUUUGUCCUCAACAUGUGCAUUGAAAUAUGAGAAUUUCUUGUAGAAGUUCUAGCUUAAAAAUCAGUUUGCCUUCACAUCAAAAAGUGGCCAUUUUAAUAAAUAUCGUGAAGACUUUUCAUCAUAAGCAAGGAUGACUCUCCAUAUUUGGAACCUAAAAUGGACUUUUAGGCACUCAAUAGAUUUUAAGAUUUAAUUACAAUCCAUACUCCAUGGCUGUAUCAAGUUUUUGGUUCACUCCACCCCCUCCUCUAUCCACCCUCCCUGCUUUCACUUUCAGCCUCCUUGUUUUCAUCUCUGGGUAGAAUCUUUCUUAAAAAAUUUAUUGGAUGAUUUACAUGGGUGAUUUACAGUGGUGUGUUAGUUUCUGCUGUACAGCAAACUGUGUAGGAUACCUGAAUAAGUUCACCCAAGGAAAGCUUGUGAACAAAACUGAUAUGUGCAAUUUCUGCUUACCAUGCUGAAAAAGAAAUUUCGUUUGCCCUUGUUUUUAAUUGUUCUUUGUUAAGGAGGGCUGGGGCAUGGAUGUGGGAGUGGCCUGAAUCUGCCAAUCAGAAAACAACCUCUAAAAUGGGGGAGCCAGGGGCAAGAUGAAAAGAACCUGGAGCCUUGGAUGGACCACCUGAGUUAGAGCUCCCUGGCCUGGGCUCAGCAUACUAUGUCUGUAAAAGGCCAGAUAAUAAAUGCUUUAGGCUUUGUAGGUCAUAACCUCUCUGUUCUAUUUUGCCAUUUGUAGUCCAAAAAGUAGCGGUAGAUAAUACUUGACUGUGAAUGAGUUGUGGGUCAGUGUUCCUGUAAAAGUUUAUUUAAUGGACACUGAAGAUUGAAUUGUAUAAAGUUUUCAUGUGCCACGAAAUAUGCUAUCUUUCUUUUUUUUCCCCCAGCCAUUUAAAGAUGUGGAAACUACUCUUACCUUAGAAACAGACAGCAAACUAGAUUUGAGCCCAGGUGGGCUUCCCUUGUAGCUCAGUUGGUAAAAAAUCUGCCUGCAGUGCAAGAGACCAGGGUUUGAUUCCUGGCUUGGGAAGAUCCUCUGGAAAAGGAAAUGGGAGCCCACUUCAGUAUUCUUGCCUGGAGAAUCCCAUAGACAGAGAAGCCUGGCAGGCUACAGUCCAUGGGGUCCUAAGAAUCAAGACACAACUUAGCAACUGACUAAACCACCACCAUGUUUGUUCCCCUUCCCCCUCUCUCCCCCCACUCCACCUAGGCUACUGAGCUCUGGACUCUACUGGGAGACAAACUUCCUCUUCUUUAAGUUGCUAUAUUAAAGGAACUUAGCCAGUACCCUAUGUAAUACACUCCUCUGCAAAGAUGAUCUUAGUUACCUUGAGUGAACUUGGAGGAGUGCUUUUUGCACGACUAGAAGCUGCCGCAAACAAGAACUGGAAUGGAGAUGGAGUGACAAAUUGCUUUCUCUUCUCCUCUCCUACGAACAGGCUGUGUGUUUAGAGAAUCAGUCGAAUUACUCGCACAAUAGUUUUGAGGCUAUGUACAUUUUAAAUUUUAAGUGUCUUUUAAGGUAUUGAUAUUUGACUUUUGAUGCGUGUUUUUUGUAGUCAUGUACAAUAGUGAUUAAUUGAUAAGAAUGACUAUUUCUGGCUUAGCCCUCCCCUACCAAAAAAGUCCCACAAAAUUUGAACUGUUUUUUCAUUGUUUUCUUUUUUAAUAAUCAGCAGUCAAUAGUUAUGGGGCACCUGUAUGCAAAAUCCUGCCAACAACUGCAUUAAAUUUACUUUAAAAGACGUGAUCCUUGCCUAGCUUUCAGACCUGUUAAGGAAACACAGGGAGACAUACCUACCUCAUCUCAAAAGUUUUAGAGUGUCUGAUAUAAAGAUCGCUUGAAUCCAGUAAUCUGCAAAUCAUCUGUGGAAACACAUGAGGGACCUUGAAGAUGAUAGAAGGGCCAUUUGGUGUGUCUGCUAAAAAUUUUGUAACCAUAUUACAGACAGUCCUUCCCAAAAACAUGCAAAAAGAGAUCGUUAUUUCAGAAAUUUGAUCCUGAUUGAAAAACAGCAUCUUGACCUCUUACAUCAGACUUUUUCUAGGUGUAUGCCCCAAACCUCUGGGUUUCAGGAGAGAAUUUUAGGGCUUCUGUUGAACAGCAACAACCAAAACAGUAAGAAUAAAUAAAUAUACUGAGGUUAGCGCACCAUCUUUCUUCCUUCCCAUGUCCAGGCCUCUUUGAACCUUCCUCCACUUUUACACUUUUAGGAAAAGUGUUGAAGAGAGAGAGAGGUUGCAGGGGAGAAGUUGUAACUCUGGCCGAUAUGUCUGGGCCACAGAGCCACAGGAAAGCAGCUGCACCUUGGACUGUGUUUGUGGCCCUGAGUAAUUCUCUGUCUCUUUGUUUUGAUGUUCAUUGACCUUCCUGAAGUGGGCUUUGAUGUUGUGUUGUUUAGUUGCUAAGUCAUGUCCGACUCUUUUGCGACCCCAUGCACUGUAGCCUGCCAGGCUCCUCUGUCCAUGAGAUUUCCCCAGGCGGGAAUACUGGAGUGGGUUGUCAUUUCCUUCUCCAGGGGAUCUUCUCGAUUUAGGGAUCAAACUGGCAUCUCUUGCAUGGACUGGGGGAUUCUUUACCACUGAGCCAGCAGGGAACCCCUUUGAUGUUGUAGGCUAUCACAAUACUGCUCAGAAGGGAGCUUGGGCUGGGAGAAAGGGAAAAGGCAAAAGAUGUCAGGCCAAUUAAUUAUUCUGUUUAAGUGACCUAAAGUCUAGGAUAAGGGGAGCCUUACAAUAGACAAAUAGCCCAGAUUUUUUUUUUGGACCUGCAGUAGUGGUCCGCUCAAAACAUAUGACCUCGUUUUCAAUAACUUGGAUGGACAUGGAGGGUAUUAUAAUAAGUGAAAUAGGUCAGAUAGAGAAACUGUCCGAUAUCAUACGUGGUAUCUAAAAUAUAAAACAAAGGAAUGAAUAACAAAUUGGAAAUAGACUCAGAUAACACUAAACAGAGAAUGAGCUAGUGGUUACCAGUGGGGAGAUGGCAGGUAAAGGGAUGAGACGGGGUAGGGUAUUAAAAGAAGUACAAAUUACUAUGUAUAAAAUAAAUAAGAUAUAAGGAUAUAUUGUACAACACAUGGAAUAUAGCUAACAUUUUAUAAUAACUUUAGAUGAAGCAUUAUCUAUAAAAAUAUUGAAUCAUCAUGUUGUAUACCUGAACCUAAUAUAAUAUUGUACAUCUACUACACUAUAAUUCUUGAAAAGACAUAUGUCCUAAUACUACUCCUUCAGAUCUUUUAAAUGAGGGCAUAAUUAAGAAUAUUUUUAUUUGCCCUUACUACAUGAGAUGGUUAGAUAGCAUCAUCGACUCAAUGGACAUGAAUUUGAGCAAACUCCAGGAGAUAGCGAAGGAUGGGGAAACCUGGUGUGCUGCAGUCCAUGGGGUCGCAAAGAGUCGGACACAAUUGCGACUGAACAACAGGAACGCAUGCUCCCACACUCUUCUAGGAACCCAACCCAUGUAAUUCUCACAGCCAUCCUUUGGGGAAAGUACCCAUUUGUAUCCAUCUUGUAGAAGAGGGGUAGAGGUGCCCUACGUCCCUAGUUGGUAACUGGCAGAGUCAGGAUUUGAGUGGAAUCAGGCAGAUACCAGAGCUUGUUUGCUGAGUCGCCCAGCUCAGACUAACCGCUUCUUUGAAGGUCCAUAGGCAGGACAGAGAAAAAGAGCUGUAAACACUUGCUGGAUAAUUGUAGGCACAGCUAACUGUGUGGUUGCACAUCUUCUGGCUCCUCACUGAACCACACGGCAUCUGAGGCCACCGUGUUCUUUUUCCCUUCUGUCCAUGGCCUUUCUCCUGGGUGGGGAGAAUGUGGACUCUCAGUGUCACCCAGAUAUGACGUCCCACGGCUCAGACAUGGUGGUGAAAAGGCUGUAGGUCACAUCAGUCUGCCUGUGUGAGCUCACUCGAAAGUCAGUGACUUCUGCAUCUUCCGCAGGUUCUCUAAAUCCAGGGAGGCUCCUUCCCAUUUUGGUAUUGAAGUGGUUCAACAAUGAAAAACAGCAUGCUUUAGAACAGCCGCAGUAGGCUGGAACGUUGUCUGUUAUAGGAGUGGGCACAGCACGGUUGAAAGUGGCCUAUCUUGAAUGCGGUUAAAGCCCAGCAGCUUUGAUUAUGAAGCUUUGGUUAAAAUGACAGUGGUCCUUACAACUUCCUAACCCUCGGCUUGCUGUUUUGUCUCUGUUAUGUUUUGUUUUGUCUUGUUUUCCUUUGUCAGGCCUGCCUCUAACAUUUGCAGAGCCCACGGCAAGAGUACAAAUGAACGCCCACAGACCAUAUGUCUAAAUAUUUAAAAGUUAUAAAAUCAGCUAAAACACAGUUAAAUAAAAUAUGUUCCAUCCUUCUACCUUGACAAAUAUACCAUCAUGGUGAAAAAUGGAAAACUAUGUAAAGUUAUGGCUUUUUGGGAAAAUAUCAAAGACAAGUAAGCGUAAUUGUUAUUGCAUAUGUCUGGGUGUUUUGUUGUUGGGCUGGAAAUGUUUAGAUGAGUGAUGAAAUGAAAGAGAAAUAAUUCAUAAUCUACUAUUUAUCCAAUUGAAUUGAUUUUUUUGUCUGCAUUUCGGUAAGAAUCAAUAUAUCGUUAUAAUCAAUAUUCCAUAAUUUGUCCUGAAGGGUUGCAAAUACACUGUAAUUCUACUAAAAGUGUCCAAAACUUUGAAUAUAUGUUUAUCAAGAAUGUGUAUUAAUAUAAAUAUGGGAAAUUUUAAGUUAAA
Molecule: long non-coding RNA, 5150 nt
Filed under: Ovis aries (sheep)
Lineage: Eukaryota; Metazoa; Chordata; Mammalia; Artiodactyla; Bovidae
Description: lncRNA (ENSOARG00000026219.1)
Source: RNAcentral